This 253-nucleotide ribosomal RNA is filed under the name uncultured bacterium. Its description in RNAcentral is "partial 16S ribosomal RNA". It matches the Rfam family "Bacterial small subunit ribosomal RNA", at positions 524 to 776 of the family's 1533-position model. The record is from RNAcentral.
UACAGAGGGGGCAAGCGUUGUUCGGAAUUACUGGGCGUAAAGGGCGCGUAGGCGGCCUUCUAAGUCAUGCGUGUAAUCCCCGGGCUCAACCCGGGAACUGCGUCCGAGACUGGAAGGCUUGAAUCCGGGAGAGGGAUGUGGAAUUCCAGGUGUAGCGGUGAAAUGCGUAGAUAUCUGGAGGAACAUCGGUGGCGAAGGCGGCAUCCUGGACCGGUAUUGACGCUGAGGCGCGAAAGCGUGGGGAGCAAACAGG